UUUAACUGAAGAGUUUGAUCAUGGCUCAGAUUGAACGCUGGCGGCAGGCUUAACACAUGCAAGUCGAGCGGAGAGAGGUAGCUUGCUACUGAUCUUAGCGGCGGACGGGUGAGUAAUGCUUAGGA
This 125-nucleotide ribosomal RNA is filed under the name Acinetobacter pittii. RNAcentral's name for it is "partial 16S ribosomal RNA". It matches the Rfam family "Bacterial small subunit ribosomal RNA", at positions 1 to 122 of the family's 1533-position model. Lineage: Bacteria; Pseudomonadati; Pseudomonadota; Gammaproteobacteria; Moraxellales; Moraxellaceae. The record is from RNAcentral.